AACGCACGAGACCUGCGGACCUGCGGAAGGAUCAUUAUAGAGUGCUAUAAAACUCAAAACCCUUCUGUGAAUCUACCUAAAAGUUGCUUCGGCAAAGGCCCACGGGGGGCCACAGCUUAUACAGGUUGCUGUAAAGUUGUCUGGGACGUGCCUGCUAUAAGGGUGCAACCUAGUUGCCGAAGAACGCCAAAACAAACGCUGUAACAAGAAUUUGCAGUCUGAGACAAUAGAAAAACUAUU
RNAcentral lists this unclassified non-coding RNA (240 nucleotides) under soil metagenome. Its description in RNAcentral is "partial contains 5.8S ribosomal RNA, internal transcribed spacer 2, and large subunit ribosomal RNA". The record is from RNAcentral.